This is a non-coding RNA of Ictidomys tridecemlineatus (thirteen-lined ground squirrel), 362 nucleotides long. NCBI's taxonomy places the organism in Eukaryota, Metazoa, Chordata, Mammalia, Rodentia, Sciuridae. The record is from RefSeq and is a predicted model, not a curated record.
CUUGUGAUUAUCUCCUCCCCACCUAUGCUUGAACAACCAGAGAAUACACUUUUAAGCUUGCUCUGUGAAGACAAAUCGCUUUUUUCUGGACAAAAGGGAAUGAAGUUAGCAUUGACUCAGAAGAUGAGUAAAAGGCCGAGAUACAGCAAAUUAGACCCUCAACAUCUGAUGGCUAUUUAGAAACUUGGUUAAAUACCCAUGUACCCCAAUCACAUUUCUGUGGAAAUCCAGAUCUACUCUUUCUCUACAAUGGGGAUGCUGCUUCUAUGCCAGUCACUUGGAAUCAGAUGAACCUAAACUCGAAGGGGCUGAAUCACCAUGAGUGACCUGGAGACAAUACAAAAGAAUGACAGCCCACUAUG